Molecule: ribosomal RNA, 497 nt
Filed under: uncultured bacterium
Lineage: Bacteria
Description: partial 16S ribosomal RNA
Rfam family: Bacterial small subunit ribosomal RNA
Source: RNAcentral
GAUGAACGCUGGCGGCGUGCCUAAUACAUGCAAGUCGAGCGAACAGAUGAGGAGCUUGCUCCUCUGACGUUAGCGGCGGACGGGUUAGUAACACGUUGAUAACCUACCUAUAAGACUUGGAUAACUUCGGGAAACCGGAGCUAAUACCGGAUAAUAUAUUGAACCGCAUGGUUCAAUAGUGAAAGACGGUUUUGCUGUCACUUAUAGAUGGAUCCGCGCCGCAUUAGCUAGUUGGUAAGGUAACGGCUUACCAAGGCAACGAUGCGUAGCCGACCUGAGAGGGUGAUCGGCCACACUGGAACUGAGACACGGUCCAGACUCCUACGGGAGGCAGCAGUAGGGAAUCUUCCGCAAUGGGCGAAAGCCUGACGGAGCAACGCCGCGUGAGUGAUGAAGGUCUUCGGAUCGUAAAACUCUGUUAUUAGGGAAGAACAAAUGUGUAAGUAACUAUGCACGUCUUGACGGUACCUAAUCAGAAAGCCACGGCUAACUACGUG